AAAUUUAUGAACAGAGGGUGGGUGAGAACCACCGACGUGGUUCGAGUCGAAGAGAGCCUGCGAACGAAGACAACGUUGCGCGCUUUUUCGCAACGGCCCGAAGGGGAAUCAUCCACCCCCCACCACCA
This 128-nucleotide small RNA is filed under the name Amphritea pacifica. RNAcentral's name for it is "Amphritea sp. ZJ14W RtT sRNA". It matches the Rfam family "RtT RNA". From Rfam's summary of the family: This family represents a bacterial cis-regulatory element known as RtT RNA. The exact function of RtT is unknown although it is thought that it may be involved in changing the cellular response in relation to amino acid starvation. The record is from RNAcentral. Lineage: Bacteria; Pseudomonadati; Pseudomonadota; Gammaproteobacteria; Oceanospirillales; Oceanospirillaceae.